AGUGAACGCUGGCGGUAGGCCUAACACAUGCAAGUCGAACGGCAGCACAGUAAGAGCUUGCUCUUACGGGUGGCGAGUGGCGGACGGGUGAGGAAUACAUCGGAAUCUACUUUUUCGUGGGGGAUAACGUAGGGAAACUUACGCUAAUACCGCAUACGACCUACGGGUGAAAGCAGGGGAUCUUCGGACCUUGCGCGAUUGAAUGAGCCGAUGUCGGAUUAGCUAGUUGGCGGGGUAAAGGCCCACCAAGGCGACGAUCCGUAGCUGGUCUGAGAGGAUGAUCAGCCACACUGGAACUGAGACACGGUCCAGACUCCUACGGGAGGCAGCAGUGGGGAAUAUUGGGCAAUGGGCGCAAGCCUGACCCAGCCAUGCCGCGUGGGUGAAGAAGGCCUUCGGGUUGGAAAACCCUUUUUUUUGGGAAGAAAAAAAGGAGGUUAAUACCCCGCUGUUCUGACGGUACCCAAAGAAUAAGCACCGGCUAACUUCGUG
RNAcentral lists this ribosomal RNA (492 nucleotides) under uncultured bacterium. Its description in RNAcentral is "partial 16S ribosomal RNA". It matches the Rfam family "Bacterial small subunit ribosomal RNA", at positions 29 to 507 of the family's 1533-position model. The record is from RNAcentral.